CAUUCAACACGUCCAACUAGCUACUUAGUCACGAGACACUGAUGGCGGUUGCAGAUUCCAAAUCAAGAUCUUCAGAAGUUUACCUUGUUUAGCAAGUUAGCUAGCUAACAUUAACAAUCAGUCAGAGUUAUCUAACAAGCAAGCAAAAUCAACGAAAAUGGUGAGGCCAACAAGCACUAACCCGCACCACACACAAUAGCUAAUGUUAACGAACUUGUUAUUUCAGAUCGCUUGACAUGAUAUAUAUAGGCAAGCUUGCUAACACCCGAUCGCUGUCCCAUGGUGCUGAAAUACAAAGGUAGCUAGUUUAGCUAUGUUUUUUUGUUGCUAUUAGCUUGAAGCUUUAGGCAUACCAACAAUGACAAUUUCUAUACUUCCAUAAUCAAUAAAAAAUAGCUAAGAAACUUGCCUUAUCAAAUGUCAAUGGGGUCAGGGUCAAUAUGCCCAGAAACAUGGGUCAUCCACUCAGGGCUGUUUCAAGCAUUUUCUUUUUUUUGGGGGGGGGGGGGGGCACCUCAUAGGCAAAACAUUUAAGUGGCAGUGGAGAGAGAAAUCUGCAGCUUUAAAGCUAUUUUCCUGAAAUUCUACACAUUUUCACCUAUGGUUGAGAGAAAAAUCCAGUUUUAAAGCUAUUUUCCUGCAAUUAUACACAUUUUAAAUUGGGAUGGAGGAAACAUUUAGCAGUUUUAAAGCUAAUUUCCUGAUAUUCUACACAUUCUACUACAGAUAUCUGAGUGAGAGUGACUAACAAAAUCAAUGGAGGCCCCCUGGAGGUCAGGGCCCCUAGGCACGUGCCUUGAGUGCCUGGUCAGUAAUUCGACCAUAAUUACUACAAGGUUUAGAUAGCUGGUUCGACUAACUCACCUAGCAAACUAUAAAAUGUUAGUUGACAUGGGCUAAUUGCAAUCCAGACUGUAUCACAACCAGCCGUGAUUGGGAGUCCCAUAGGGCGGCGCACAUUUGGCCCAGCGUCGUCCUGGUUUGGCCGGUGUAGGCCGUCAUUGCAAAUAAGAAUUUGUCCUUAACUGACUUGCCUAGUUAAAUAAAGGUUAAAUAAAUAAAAAAUAUAUAACGAUUGACUGUCAGUGACUGACUUUAAAAUAGGACAACUGCUGAUGCACUUCCAGUGGACGCUAUGGGAUAACAGCCACUAUUGUACCAUAACCAUUUAAUUUGUACAGCAUUAGUCUCUCCAACAAGCCUGAAACAGUGUAAACAAGGACAAGGGCUAACUGAUGCCUUGGACCGUGCAAUGGAGGAUAUUACAGCACUAGAGAUCUCUACACCUUCUUCUCUUGAUAAGUCCAGCGAGGACUCACUCAGUCACUCACAAACAAAACUCCAAUUUGAGGAACCACUUGUCAGGCAAGAGAAGUCAAGGCAUAAAAGGGAGGGCUUUGCACUGUCAAGCAAAUCCGAAGCUCCAUUCCCUAAAGAUCUACUUGAAGUUUUAGGUUAGUAUUAAAACACUAAUUAUUAAAGACUAGUAUUAAAACACUAAGUAUUAAAGAUUAGUAUUAAAACACAACUUGUGAUGUUCACACGCUGGUGGUUAUUUUUCAUUUUGCCACAUUUCAAUGUUCAACAAAAUGAAUGUUUAAGAUCAGCCCUUGUACUAGUUUAAAGACACAAAGCUAUCACAUAAAGGAGAUGGCAAACACCAACCACUCAAAGCCUGCAUUGUGUCCCCUGCAAAGGGACUUCAGAUAUCCAGACUCUGGAGGAUCUAGUGGCUAAACUGGAGUUUGAGAAUGAGCUGCACCGUGUGUGUGGGAAUCAGGACGUAGACAAGGAGUUUCUAUCACCAGAGGAACACAGUUCAGACAGCUUAGUAGAGGACAGAAGCAGCAGCAAUGGAGAUGUGUCCAGUUCAGAGGAGGACCACUGCAUGUUAGAGAUUGUGUUGCAGAUGGAAAGGGAGUAUGAUCUUUCUGUUUAUUACAAUGACUUCUGUACUCAAUGACAAGGCCCUCAUUCAGCCAGUUAUCUGUACACAGAGCAUCGUGACAUAGGUUUCUGUUGAUAACAACUCCUAAGGAAAGAUUUUCAAGACAAACCUGUCUGAAAUUAGGAUUAAAUCUGGGCUCACUUUACAGUACAUAAAACAAUCCGAGAAGUGAAUUAUUCAGUAGCAAACUUGCAGUUUUUUAUGUAUCCAUCUCUACUUUAUUUUGUAAAGACAUCUAGGCUGUCAUAUUUCAUUGGUUCAAGUUACUGUAGUUUCUGUUUUUUAUACACCAUUAAUUCAGUUUAUAGUAUUUAUAACCAAUAUUAAAACUAUUUGAUUGUAACAAUCUAUAGAACAUUGCUCUGUUGUAAAACCGUAACUUUGAUUGUAUGUUAAUAUCAACCAUCAACCUGUUAUUACUCCUCAAAUGUAGAAUUACAUUUGAGAAAUGAAAACCAAUAAAAACAUGUUUUUAUUACA
Long non-coding RNA from Salvelinus fontinalis (brook trout), 2428 nucleotides. RefSeq lists it as uncharacterized. NCBI's taxonomy places the organism in Eukaryota, Metazoa, Chordata, Actinopteri, Salmoniformes, Salmonidae. The record is from RefSeq and is a predicted model, not a curated record. The transcript has 2 exons.